UACGAAGGGGGCUAGCGUUGCUCGGAAUCACUGGGCGUAAAGGGGGCGUAGGCGGGUCUUUAAGUCAGGGGUGAAAUCCUGGAGCUCAACUCCAGAACUGCCUUUGAUACUGAAGAUCUUGAGUUCGGGAGAGGUGAGUGGAACUGCGAGUGUAGAGGUGAAAUUCGUAGAUAUUCGCAAGAACACCAGUGGCGAAGGCGGCUCACUGGCCCGAUACUGACGCUGAGGUGCGAAAGCGUGGGGAGCAAACAGG
RNAcentral lists this ribosomal RNA (253 nucleotides) under uncultured bacterium. RNAcentral's name for it is "partial 16S ribosomal RNA". It matches the Rfam family "Bacterial small subunit ribosomal RNA", at positions 524 to 776 of the family's 1533-position model. The record is from RNAcentral.